UAUCCUGGCUCAGGACGAACGCUGGCGGCGUGCUUAACACAUGCAAGUCGAGCGGUAAGGCCCUUCGGGGUACACGAGCGGCGAACGGGUGAGUAACACGUGGGUGAUCUGCCCUGCACUUCGGGAUAAGCCUGGGAAACUGGGUCUAAUACCGGAUAUGACCUUCGGCUGCAUGGCCGAGGGUGGAAAGGUUUACUGGUGCAGGAUGGGCCCGCGGCCUAUCAGCUUGUUGGUGGGGUAAUGGCCUACCAAGGCGACGACGGGUAGCCGACCUGAGAGGGUGACCGGCCACACUGGGACUGAGACACGGCCCAGACUCCUACGGGAGGCAGCAGUGGGGAAUAUUGCACAAUGGGCGAAAGCCUGAUGCAGCGACGCCGCGUGAGGGAUGACGGCCUUCGGGUUGUAAACCUCUUUCAGCAGGGACGAAGCGAAAGUGACGGUACCUGCAGAAGAAGCACC
This 462-nucleotide ribosomal RNA is filed under the name Rhodococcus sp. 155-4.2-CV-H12(h)-03. Its description in RNAcentral is "bacterial SSU rRNA". It matches the Rfam family "Bacterial small subunit ribosomal RNA", at positions 15 to 494 of the family's 1533-position model. Lineage: Bacteria; Bacillati; Actinomycetota; Actinomycetes; Mycobacteriales; Nocardiaceae. The record is from RNAcentral.